GAUGAACGCUAGCGAUAGGCUUAACACAUGCAAGUCGAGGGGCAUCGAGGGUAGCAAUACCUGUCGGCGACCGGCGCACGGGUGAGUAACGCGUAUGUAACCUGCCCGCAACAGAGGGAUAACCCGGCGAAAGUCGGACUAAUACCUCAUAAAACAGGGGUUCCGCAUGGGGCUAUUUGUUAAAGAUUUAUUGGUUGCGGAUGGGCAUGCGUACCAUUAGGUAGUUGGUGAGGUAACGGCUCACCAAGCCAUCGAUGGUUAGGGGUUCUGAGAGGAAGGUCCCCCACACUGGUACUGAGACACGGACCAGACUCCUACGGGAGGCAGCAGUGAGGAAUAUUGGUCAAUGGGCGAGAGCCUGAACCAGCCAAGUCGCGUGAAGGAUGACUGCCCCUAUGGGUUGUAAAAUUUUUUU
This 415-nucleotide ribosomal RNA is filed under the name Tannerella forsythia. RNAcentral describes it as "bacterial SSU rRNA". It matches the Rfam family "Bacterial small subunit ribosomal RNA", at positions 28 to 437 of the family's 1533-position model. Lineage: Bacteria; Pseudomonadati; Bacteroidota; Bacteroidia; Bacteroidales; Tannerellaceae. The record is from RNAcentral.